Molecule: ribosomal RNA, 674 nt
Filed under: uncultured Lactobacillus sp.
Lineage: Bacteria; Bacillati; Bacillota; Bacilli; Lactobacillales; Lactobacillaceae
Description: bacterial SSU rRNA
Rfam family: Bacterial small subunit ribosomal RNA
Source: RNAcentral
GACGAACGCUGGCGGCGUGCCUAAUACAUGCAAGUCGAGCGAGCAGAACCAGCAGAUUUACUUCGGUAAUGAUGCUGGGGACGCGAGCGGCGGAUGGGUGAGUAACACGUGGGGAACCUGCCCCAUAGUCUGGGAUACCACUUGGAAACAGGUGCUAAUACCGGAUAAGAAAGCAGAUCGCAUGAUCAGCUUAUAAAAGGCGGCGCAAGCUGUCGCUAUGGGAUGGCCCCGCGGUGCAUUAGCUAGUUGGUAAGGUAACGGCUUACCAAGGCAAUGAUGCAUAGCCGAGUUGAGAGACUGAACGGCCACAUUGGGACUGAGACACGGCCCAAACUCCUACGGGAGGCAGCAGUAGGGAAUCUUCCACAAUGGACGCAAGUCUGAUGGAGCAACGCCGCGUGAGUGAAGAAGGUUUUCGGAUCGUAAAGCUCUGUUGUUGGUGAAGAAGGAUAGAGGUAGUAACUGGCCUUUAUUUGACGGUAAUCAACCAGAAAGUCACGGCUAACUACGUGCCAGCAGCCGCGGUAAUACGUAGGUGGCAAGCGUUGUCCGGAUUUAUUGGGCGUAAAGCGAGCGCAGGCGGAAGAAUAAGUCUGAUGUGAAAGCCCUCGGCUUAACCGAGGAACUGCAUCGGAAACUGUUUUUCUUGAGUGCAGAAGAGGAGAGUGGAACUC